UACGUAGGUGGCAAGCGUUGUCCGGAUUUACUGGGCGUAAAGAGCGCGCAGGCGGUCGUUCAAGUCGCGUGUGAAAGCCCCCGGCUCAACUGGGGACGGUCACGCGAUACUGAUCGACUCGAAGGCAGGAGAGGGAAGUGGAAUUCCCGGUGUAGCGGUGAAAUGCGUAGAUAUCGGGAGGAACAUCAGUGGCGAAGGCGGCUACCUGGCCCAAUACUGACACUCAGGUGCGACAGCGUGGGGAGCAAACAGG
Molecule: ribosomal RNA, 253 nt
Filed under: uncultured bacterium
Lineage: Bacteria
Description: partial 16S ribosomal RNA
Rfam family: Bacterial small subunit ribosomal RNA
Source: RNAcentral